RNAcentral lists this ribosomal RNA (336 nucleotides) under Triticum aestivum (bread wheat). Its description in RNAcentral is "partial small subunit ribosomal RNA". The record is from RNAcentral. Lineage: Eukaryota; Viridiplantae; Streptophyta; Magnoliopsida; Poales; Poaceae.
AUGUUGGAGCAAAUCAAGGAAAAAUUGCACAGGGCACAAAACAGAAUGAAGCACUAUGCUGAUAUGAAAAGAGUGGAAAAAACAUUUGAGGUGGGAGACUUGGUUUAUCUGAAAAUGGCACCAUACAGACUGGCUGCUUUUGGGUUCAAAGGAGCUCUUAAACUCCAAAACAAAUACUAUGGUCCAUUCAUGAUUAGUCAGAAAGUGGGCAAAUCCGCAUACAAGUUACAAUUCUCUGGUGAAGUCAAGAACUCAAGAUACAUCCAGUGUUCCAUAUUGGACCAAAGUCUAUUCCUAGCCCUCAUCUUCCAAUGGUCAAUGAAGAUGGCACUAUAA